UGGGGAAUUUUGGACAAUGGGCGCAAGCCUGAUCCAGCCAUGCCGCGUGCAGGAUGAAGGCCCUCGGGUUGUAAACUGCUUUUGUACGGAACGAAAAGCCUCUUUCUAAUAAAGAGGGGUGAUGACGGUACCGUAAGAAUAAGCACCGGCUAACUACGUGCCAGCAGCCGCGGUAAUACGUAGGGUGCGAGCGUUAAUCGGAAUUACUGGGCGUAAAGCGUGCGCAGGCGGUCUUGCAAGACAGUGGUGAAAUCCCCGGGCUCAAGCUGGGAACUGACAGUGUGACUGCAAGGCUGGAGUACGGCAGAGGGGGAUGGAAUUCCGCGUGUAGCAGUGAAAUGCGUAGAUAUGCGGAGGAACACCGAUGGCGAAGGCAAUCCCCUGGGCCUGCACUGACGCUCAUGCACGAAAGCGUGGGGAGCAAACA
This 427-nucleotide ribosomal RNA is filed under the name uncultured bacterium. RNAcentral describes it as "bacterial SSU rRNA". It matches the Rfam family "Bacterial small subunit ribosomal RNA", at positions 355 to 774 of the family's 1533-position model. The record is from RNAcentral.